AAAUUGAAGAGUUUGAUCAUGGCUCAGAUUGAACGCUGGCGGCAGGCCUAACACAUGCAAGUCGAACGGUAACAGGAAACAGCUUGCUGUUUCGCUGACGAGUGGCGGACGGGUGAGUAAUGUCUGGGAAACUGCCUGAUGGAGGGGGAUAACUACUGGAAACGGUAGCUAAUACCGCAUAACGUCGCAAGACCAAAGAGGGGGACCUUCGGGCCUCUUGCCAUCGGAUGUGCCCAGAUGGGAUUAGCUUGUUGGUGGGGUAACGGCUCACCAAGGCGACGAUCCCUAGCUGGUCUGAGAGGAUGACCAGCCACACUGGAACUGAGACACGGUCCAGACUCCUACGGGAGGCAGCAGUGGGGAAUAUUGCACAAUGGGCGCAAGCCUGAUGCAGCCAUGCC
RNAcentral lists this ribosomal RNA (401 nucleotides) under Escherichia coli. RNAcentral's name for it is "bacterial SSU rRNA". It matches the Rfam family "Bacterial small subunit ribosomal RNA", at positions 1 to 398 of the family's 1533-position model. The record is from RNAcentral. Lineage: Bacteria; Pseudomonadati; Pseudomonadota; Gammaproteobacteria; Enterobacterales; Enterobacteriaceae.